This 28-nucleotide transfer RNA is filed under the name Orthothecium brunnescens. RNAcentral describes it as "Orthothecium sp. JK-2020a partial tRNA-Ser". Lineage: Eukaryota; Viridiplantae; Streptophyta; Bryopsida; Hypnales; Plagiotheciaceae. The record is from RNAcentral.
ACCGAGGGUUCGAAUCCCUCUCUUUCCG